This 272-nucleotide ribosomal RNA is filed under the name uncultured bacterium. Its description in RNAcentral is "partial 16S ribosomal RNA". It matches the Rfam family "Bacterial small subunit ribosomal RNA", at positions 524 to 795 of the family's 1533-position model. The record is from RNAcentral.
UACGUAGGCAGCAAGCGUUGUUCGGAAUUACUGGGCGUAAAGAGUGUGUAGGUGGUGUCGUAAGUUUGGUGUGAAAUCUCCCGGCUUAACUGGGAGGGUGCGCCGAAGACUGCGAUGCUGGAGUAUGGGAGAGGAAAGCGGAAUUCCUGGUGUAGCGGUGAAAUGCGUAGAUAUCAGGAGGAACACCUGCGGUGUAGACGGCUUUCUGGACCAUUACUGACACUGAGACACGAAAGCGUGGGUAGCAAACAGGAUUAGAAACCCCCGUAGUC